GGUGAGAUGGCUGAGAUUUAGGCGUUAAAUUGUAAAUUUAAAAACGAAUAUAUUAUUCUCUCACCA
Molecule: transfer RNA, 66 nt
Filed under: Cryptocephalus cantabricus
Lineage: Eukaryota; Metazoa; Arthropoda; Insecta; Coleoptera; Chrysomelidae
Description: tRNA-Tyr
Rfam family: tRNA
About the family: Transfer RNA (tRNA) molecules are approximately 80 nucleotides in length. Their secondary structure includes four short double-helical elements and three loops (D, anti-codon, and T loops).
Source: RNAcentral